Medicago truncatula (barrel medic) is the source of this 1302-nucleotide long non-coding RNA. RefSeq lists it as uncharacterized. The transcript is spliced from 3 exons. The record is from RefSeq and is a predicted model, not a curated record. Lineage: Eukaryota; Viridiplantae; Streptophyta; Magnoliopsida; Fabales; Fabaceae.
CUCUACACUUAUGCAAUGGUCAUCCGUUUGACUGUGUAGCUGCGCCAAUUGGGAUACAGGUUGGCAUCAAUGACCUCGAUUUUGAACAACAUCAGUUUGUCGACAAACAUUCCCAACUCUUCAGAACAUUCAGCAGAAGUAUUUGAGCACUCACUGCAGCCAAAACACACAAAUCAUAGUAUAAGAAAACCUACUAACAGUUUUUCUGACAAAGUUCUAGCACAAUUGAAGUUAGCACGAUCCCCAUAUAUGCAGACAAAAGAAAUAACAUAAAUGGAACCUCCUUUGCCUAAGUCAAUAUCUACAUGAAAGCAUGCACCAUAGAGACUCUAUUACUUGAGGGACCAAAAUCGUUGGCCAUCUUGAGGUUCCUCUCUCACACGUCCUCUAGGCCAUAAUGCCAGUGUUUGCUCUCCCACUAACCGUCUUGAUAAUGUUUGUCGGUCCUAAUUAUAUCAUUUUUCUUUCAUCACGUUUCCUAUACUAGUAAACAAGAGAUCAUUCCAUUUUUAAUUUCUCAAUUUAAUUUCAUGAGUCAAAAGUUGAAAACCUAUGACUCCUUUCCUUAUUACCACGCCAAAUAUACCUCUCUUCCUCAUGUAGGUUGUUCAAUUUCAUUUAAUUGCUAUUACAAGCCAUAAACAGCCAUUGACCUCCUUUCUCUUCUAAAAGAAAAACGCGUUUGACCUCUUCUCUCUCUCUAGUGUGUCAACUAUUCCUCUAGUCUCCAAAUCCAAUUGAUGCUCAUUGAUCCUUCCAUAAUUUUCCUUAAUACAAAUUAACAAACCUAGUGUAACUCUCUUAUAUUUGUAGGGUCUGUUACAACUAGGAGUAAAACAUUCAUUUUCUUGCUCUCAUCAUCAUCAUUAUAGUUAACCAACAUCAAAGAAAACCCUCCACCAUUUUCACGUUUUGUACCCAACUCACUACAUCAUUCAUUGUUAAGCAACAUACUACUGCAACCCUUAGCUACAUCCCACCAUUAUCAUUUGUUCACCAAAAUAUUUUUCUAUGUCACUCAAGCAUUCAUCUACCGAUCCUUUUCUCAAAACUUAUGCAAGUCCUAAGAAUCCCAAGACUAGCUCGUGCAUUUGGUGCGGAAUCAAUCCUAGGGACGUCUUGUGUCGACGGAAAGUCACUCAAAGGUAUUGAUGAAUUUGAAGAUUUGAAGAAAGUAUCAUGUUAAGUUUGCACGCGCGCCGGGAAAUAAAUUUGGGUUUUUCAUAUGUUGUAAUUUAAAAUAUUUUUGAGGUUCAUUUUAGUUUUCUUGUAAUAAUCCAAUUUAAUAAAUAAUUUCUAUUA